RNAcentral lists this long non-coding RNA (1832 nucleotides) under Cucumis sativus (cucumber). RNAcentral's name for it is "long non-coding RNA (CSAT_LNC003174)". Lineage: Eukaryota; Viridiplantae; Streptophyta; Magnoliopsida; Cucurbitales; Cucurbitaceae. The record is from RNAcentral.
AGCGUUCUAGACAUAGCAUCGAGUUUGAUGAGGGCUUUGAAAAGAGGAGGAAUCCUCCCCGUUCCACACUAGGGGGAAAACGAGGCUUGUUGUCACUCCGAAGGGAGCAGUCAAACUUAGCAUUGAGUUUGACGAGGGCUUUGAAAAGAGGAGGAAUCCUCCCCGUUCCAUAGUAGGGGGAAAACGAGGCUUGUUGUCACUCCGAAGGGAGCAGUCAAACUUAGAAACUAAGUCUAGAACCAUAGAAAGGUUACCCCACCGGUUCUUGUGUGCGUACCAAAGAAACAAAAGAGAUAGUUGCAAAUGUAAAACGUAAAACAGUGACACAAUUAAGAGCUAAAAAAAACAAACAACAUAUGCAAUAUACAUCAGAAAAAUCCCAUAAAAAAUGAGGGGAAACUUCACUUAUGGCCUAACCAAAACCAGACCACCUACUCUUAGCGUUCUAGACAUAGCAUCGAGUUUGAUGAGGGCUUUGAAAAGAGGAGGAAUCCUCCCCGUUCCACACUAGGGGGAAAACGAGGCUUGUUGUCACUCCGAAGGGAGCAGUCAAACUUAGCAUUGAGUUUGACGAGGGCUUUGAAAAGAGGAGGAAUCCUCCCCGUUCCAUAGUAGGGGGAAAACGAGGCUUGUUGUCACUCCGAAGGGAGCAGUCAAACUUAGAAACUAAGUCUAGAACCAUAGAAAGGUUACCCCACCGGUUCUUGUGUGCGUACCAAAGAAACAAAAGAGAUAGUUGCAAAUGUAAAACGUAAAACAGCGAGACAAUUAAGAGCUAAAAAAAACAAACAACAUAUGCAAUAUACAUCAGAAAAAUCCCAUAAAAAAUGAGGGGAAACUUCACUUAUGGCCUAACCAAAACCAGACCACCUACUCUUAGCGUUCUAGACAUAGCAUCGAGUUUGAUGAGGGCUUUGAAAAGAGGAGGAAUCCUCCCCGUUCCACACUAGGGGGAAAACGAGGCUUGUUGUCACUCCGAAGGGAGCAGUCAAACUUAGCAUUGAGUUUGACGAGGGCUUUGAAAAGAGGAGGAAUCCUCCCCGUUCCAUAGUAGGGGGAAAACGAGGCUUGUUGUCACUCCGAAGGGAGCAGUCAAACUUAGAAACUAAGUCUAGAACCAUAGAAAGGUUACCCCACCGGUUCUUGUGUGCGUACCAAAGAAACAAAAGAGAUAGUUGCAAAUGUAAAACGUAAAACAGUGACACAAUUAAGAGCUAAAAAAAACAAACAACAUAUGCAAUAUACAUCAGAAAAAUCCCAUAAAAAAUGAGGGGAAACUUCACUUAUGGCCUAACCAAAACCAGACCACCUACUCUUAGCGUUCUAGACAUAGCAUCGAGUUUGAUGAGGGCUUUGAAAAGAGGAGGAAUCCUCCCCGUUCCACACUAGGGGGAAAACGAGGCUUGUUGUCACUCCGAAGGGAGCAGUCAAACUUAGAAACUAAGUCUAGAACCAUAGAAAGGUUACCCCACCGGUUCUUGUGUGCGUACCAAAGAAACAAAAGAGAUAGUUGCAAAUGUAAAACGUAAAACAACGAGACAAUUAAGAGCUAAAAAAAACAAACAACAUAUGCAUUAUACAUCAGAAAAAUCCCAUUCAGAUUGUUUUAUCUUCUCAUGUUGGGCUACUUCCAAGCAAUGUUUUAAGCGAAGGGUGGAUAAUAGCUCACUUGUUUAGUCUAAACUUGGGGAUUUCAAAUUUUGUCCAAAUUUCAAAAUUUUUCAAAAGUUUUUCAUUACAAUAAUGAGCAUCAUAGCUUCUUAGAUCUUGCAUAAAAGGCAUGACUGUCAACCCUUGAGCACUAAGCUCGGGUUUGUGACGUGAGAUUCUGA